This 721-nucleotide ribosomal RNA is filed under the name Bacillus sp. P20-07. RNAcentral describes it as "bacterial SSU rRNA". It matches the Rfam family "Bacterial small subunit ribosomal RNA", at positions 390 to 1104 of the family's 1533-position model. Lineage: Bacteria; Bacillati; Bacillota; Bacilli; Caryophanales; Bacillaceae. The record is from RNAcentral.
AGCAACGCCGCGUGAGUGAUGAAGGUUUUCGGAUCGUAAAGCUCUGUUGUUAGGGAAGAACAAGUGCAAGAGUAACUGCUUGCACCUUGACGGUACCUAACCAGAAAGCCACGGCUAACUACGUGCCAGCAGCCGCGGUAAUACGUAGGUGGCAAGCGUUGUCCGGAAUUAUUGGGCGUAAAGGGCUCGCAGGCGGUUUCUUAAGUCUGAUGUGAAAGCCCCCGGCUAACCGGGGAGGGUCAUUGGAAACUGGGAAACUUGAGUGCAGAAGAGGAGAGUGGAAUUCCACGUGUAGCGGUGAAAUGCGUAGAGAUGUGGAGGAACACCAGUGGCGAAGGCGACUCUCUGGUCUGUAACUGACGCUGAGGAGCGAAAGCGUGGGGAGCGAACAGGAUUAGAUACCCUGGUAGUCCACGCCGUAAACGAUGAGUGCUAAGUGUUAGGGGGUUUCCGCCCCUUAGUGCUGCAGCUAACGCAUUAAGCACCCGCCUGGGGAGUACGGUCGCAAGACUGAAACUCAAAGGAAUUGACGGGGGCCCGCACAAGCGGUGGAGCAUGUGGUUUAAUUCGAAGCAACGCGAAGAACCUUACCAGGUCUUGACAUCCUCUGACAACCCUAGAGAUAGGGCUUUCCCUUCGGGGACAGAGUGACAGGUGGUGCAUGGUUGUCGUCAGCUCGUGUCGUGAGAUGUUGGGUUAAGUCCCGCAACGAGCGCAACCC